This 323-nucleotide ribosomal RNA is filed under the name uncultured eukaryote. Its description in RNAcentral is "partial 18S ribosomal RNA". It matches the Rfam family "Eukaryotic small subunit ribosomal RNA", at positions 1470 to 1796 of the family's 1831-position model. The record is from RNAcentral.
CCCUUAGAUGUUCUGGGCCGCACGCGCGCUACACUGACGAAUGCAACGAGCUUAUAACCUUGGCCGAAAGGUCUGGGUAAUCUCCAAAUUUCGUCGUGAUGGGGAUAGAUUAUUGCAAUUAUUAAUCUUCAACGAGGAAUUCCUAGUAAGCGCGAGUCAUCAGCUCGUGCUGAUUACGUCCCUGCCCUUUGUACACACCGCCCGUCGCUCCUACCGAUUGAGUGUUCCGGUGAAUAAUUCGGACUGCAGUAGCGUGAGGACUCCUCACCUGCAGCGGAAAGUUUGGUGAACCUUAACACUUAGAGGAAGGAGAAGUCGUAACA